GGGAAUGUAGCUCAGGGGUAGAGCAUUUGCCUAGCAAGCACAAGUGCUGGGUUCAAGCUCUAGUAUUCCCC
This 71-nucleotide transfer RNA is filed under the name Heterocephalus glaber (naked mole-rat). It matches the Rfam family "tRNA". Rfam says of the family: Transfer RNA (tRNA) molecules are approximately 80 nucleotides in length. The record is from Rfam by way of RNAcentral. Lineage: Eukaryota; Metazoa; Chordata; Mammalia; Rodentia; Bathyergidae.